UAAAGUGGCUGAAUAUUAGGCGAUAGAUUGUAAAUCUUUUUAUGAAAAAAAAAUUCCUUUAUCA
This 64-nucleotide transfer RNA is filed under the name Gryllus veletis. Its description in RNAcentral is "tRNA-Tyr". Lineage: Eukaryota; Metazoa; Arthropoda; Insecta; Orthoptera; Gryllidae. The record is from RNAcentral.